Molecule: ribosomal RNA, 786 nt
Filed under: uncultured bacterium
Lineage: Bacteria
Description: bacterial SSU rRNA
Rfam family: Bacterial small subunit ribosomal RNA
Source: RNAcentral
GGGCUUUAACCCAUGAACUGCUUUUGAAACUGUUAGUCUUGAGUGAAGUAGAGGUAGGCGGAAUUCCCGGUGUAGCGGUGAAAUGCGUAGAGAUCGGGAGGAACACCAGUGGCGAAGGCGGCCUACUGGGCUUUACCUGACGCUGAGGCCACGAAAGUUGUGGGUAGCAAAACAGGAUGAGAUACCCCUGGUUAGUCCACACUCUAAACGAGGAUUAUUUAGGUGUGGGGGGUGUAACCCCCUCCGUGCCGGAGUUAACACAAUAAGUAAUCCACCUGGGGAGUACGACCGCAAGGUUGAAACUCAAAGGAAUUGACGGGGGCCCGCACAAGCAGUGGAGUAUGUGGUUUAAUUUGACGCAACGCGAAGAACCUUACCAGGUCUUGACAUCCAACUAACGAAGCAGAGAUGCAUUAGGUGCCCUUCGGGGAAAGUUGAGACAGGUGGUGCAUGGUUGUCGUCAGCUCGUGUCGUGAGAUGUUGGGUUAAGUCCCGCAACGAGCGCAACCCUUGUGAUUAGUUGCUACGCAAGAGCACUCUAAUCAGACUGCCGUUGACAAAACGGAGGAAGGUGGGGACGACGUCAAAUCAUCAUGCCCUUUAUGACCUGGGCUACACACGUACUACAAUGGUCGUUAACAGAGGGAAGCAAUACCGCGAGGUGGAGCAAAACCCUAAAAACGGUCUCAGUUCAGAUUGUAGGCUGCAACUCGCCUACAUGAAGUUGGAAUUGCUAGUAAUCGCGGAUCAGCAUGCCGCGGUGAAUACGUUCCCGGGCCUUGCACA